ACAAACGCUCGUGGUUGGUCAGAGCUUUGGCACCAGCACGUCUCCCAUAGGGUUAGAGCCAGAGACCAGAGCCAGAGACCAGAGACCAGAGACCAGAGCCAGACCAGAGACCAGAGCCCAGAGCCAGACCAGAGACCAGAGCAGACCAGAGCCCAGAGCCAGACCAGAGACCAGAGACCAGAGCCCAGAGCCAGACCAGAGACCAGAGCCCAGAGCCAGACCAGAGCCCAGAGCAGACCAGAGACCAGAGACCAGAGACCAGAGACCAGAGCCAGAGACCAGAGCCAGAGACCAGAGCCAGAGACCAGAGACCAGAGCCAGAGACCAGAGAACCAGAGACCAGAGACCGAGACCAGAGACCAGAGCCAGAGCCAGAGCCAGAGCCAGAGACCAGAGACCAGAGCCAGAGACCAGAGCCAGACACCAGAGCCAGAGCCAGAGACCAGAGCCAGAGCCAGACCAGAGACCAGAGCCAGAGACCAGAGCCCAGAGACCAGAGCCCAGAGACCAGAGCCCAGAGACCAGAGCCAGAUACCAGAGCCAGAGACCAGAGCCAGAGACCAGAGACCAGAGCCAGAGACCAGAGACCAGAGCCAGAGACCAGAGACCAGAGCCAGAGACCAGAGAACCAGAGACCAGAGACCAGAGCCAGAGACCAGAGCCAGAGACCAGAGACCAGAGACCAGAGCCAGAGCCAGAGACCAGAGACCAGAGCCAGAGACCAGAGCCAGACACCAGAGCCAGAGCCAGAGCCAGAGACCAGAGCCAGAGCCAGAGACCAGAGCCAGAGACCAGAGCCCAGAGACCAGAGCCAGAGACCAGAGACCAGAGACCAGAGCCAGAGACCAGAGACCAGAGCCCAGAGACCAGAGCCAGAGGAUGCAGCACAGCUGCUGCUGGACUCUACCUGGAGACACUAGAGUCUCCUGGUGUUUAGAGCUGAAACAUCGUUGUUGUUGGGAAAAUGUUGUAAACCCCUUCCCACCACUUGUGUAUCUACUGUGUGUAACACUGAACACAAGGGCCGAGGUCAUGAAGGUGAGGGGGGAAGCAGCUCCACAGGACCAGCUCACAGAGCCCCCAGGUGUGGCUCCUACCUGCCUCCACCUGAACCAGGAGGUCCAGCAGAAGAAAGCGGGCCGAGCAGAAUAUCAAAGGUCCCAGGAAGAAACCUACAGGAAAGAGAGGGGGGCCGGGAUGGAGGGUGCUGCCCCCUACUGGACAGGCUGA
This 1230-nucleotide long non-coding RNA is filed under the name Takifugu rubripes (torafugu). Its description in RNAcentral is "lncRNA (ENSTRUG00000026811.1)". Lineage: Eukaryota; Metazoa; Chordata; Actinopteri; Tetraodontiformes; Tetraodontidae. The record is from RNAcentral.